This 253-nucleotide ribosomal RNA is filed under the name uncultured bacterium. RNAcentral's name for it is "partial 16S ribosomal RNA". It matches the Rfam family "Bacterial small subunit ribosomal RNA", at positions 524 to 776 of the family's 1533-position model. The record is from RNAcentral.
UACGUAGGGACCAAGCGUUGUCCGGAAUCAUUGGGCGUAAAGAGCGUGUAGGCGGCUUGUUAAGUCUUGCGUGAAAUCUCGGGACUCAACCCCGAGCGGUCGUGAGAAACUGGCAGGCUAGGGUGCGGGAGAGGAGAGUGGAAUUCCUGGUGUAGCGGUGAAAUGCGCAGAUAUCAGGAAGAACACCCGUGGCGAAGGCGGCUCUCUGGAACGCAACUGACGCUGAGACGCGAAAGCGUGGGGAGCAAACAGG